GGGUGAUUAGCUCAGUUGGUAGAGCAGCUGACUCUUAAUCAGCGGGUCAUAGGUUCGAGCCCUAUAUCACCCA
This 73-nucleotide transfer RNA is filed under the name Fulvimarina pelagi HTCC2506. It matches the Rfam family "tRNA". Rfam says of the family: Transfer RNA (tRNA) molecules are approximately 80 nucleotides in length. Their secondary structure includes four short double-helical elements and three loops (D, anti-codon, and T loops). Further hydrogen bonds mediate the characteristic L-shaped molecular structure. tRNAs have two regions of fundamental functional importance: the anti-codon, which is responsible for specific mRNA codon recognition, and the 3' end, to which the tRNAs corresponding amino acid is attached (by aminoacyl-tRNA synthetases). tRNAs cope with the degeneracy of the genetic code in two manners: having more than one tRNA (with a specific anti-codon) for a particular amino acid; and 'wobble' base-pairing, i.e. permitting non-standard base-pairing at the 3rd anti-codon position. Lineage: Bacteria; Pseudomonadati; Pseudomonadota; Alphaproteobacteria; Hyphomicrobiales; Aurantimonadaceae. The record is from Rfam by way of RNAcentral.